UAUUUUUUGAGCAAUAUUUUUAAUGAUGCGUAAUAGACGUACAGAGUUUCAGGGCUUCCAUCAACCAUUUUUAAGUGCACGGCUCAGUUGUGUUAAGUAUAGUCACACUGUUAUACAACCCAUCUCCAAAGCGUUUCCAUCACCAUUGAACAACAGUUCUCCAUUUUCCUCCCCCUGGACCCCGGCAACCGCCUUCUAGCUUCUGUUUCUAUGAGUUUGGUUACUCUAGAUACCUCAUGGAAGUGGGGUCAUUCAGUCGUUGUCUUCGUGUUGCAGAGCAAGCAUUUUUAAGUCCUGCUAUGUGUCCAUCACUGUGUAUGACUCCGAAAUAGAAAAGGAGGAUCGUUAAAAAUGGAUCUUUUUUUCACUACCACUGUGAUCAGCAAAACUGGGAAAAGGGCAGACCUUGGCUGUGGCCUCUCACAUUGCCCCAGUCCAUGGCAUGAGCGUCUCACCCAAACUUCUAUUCUGGCCCUAACUUUCCUCCCUGCCCCCAUCCAAUGCUGCCUGGACCAGCUGUCACACUGGACUCUGGGACAAAUUAAUUCACGUGAAACUGCUAAUGGCUGACACAGUAAUAAGUCAGAUUGUGUUUCAACAUAAAGAUUUAAAUCUCUUUUUAACAAAAAUAUAGAGAAGGGGGUCUCACUAUGUUGCUCAGGCUGGUCUCAAACUCCUGGGCUCAAGUGAUCCUCCUGCCUCAGUCUCCCAAGUAGCUAGAACUAUAGUUGUGUGCCACCAAGAACUAAAUCUCUAAAACUGGAACUUCAGAUGACAGCAGUAGCCUGGUAAGGGAGAGCCCGUUCACAGUAGUCCUUUAGGUGUCUGCACAAAGCAAAUGGGUUUCUCUCUGCCCAUCAUUGUAAGCCUGUGACCCUUGGGACAAAACACUUUGCCUCAUAGGUGCAUCCUAGGAAGAAUCCAUCCUACUAAAGUUGCCAUCAACUGGCAGAGCACUCAACUGGCAGUGGUGUGACCUGCUGUCUCCCUGCUCUGUGCUGGAGUGGAGCCUCUGUGAUCUGCCUCUGCCACAGGCAAAGUUCUCAGGGAAACUAGAGAAACUGGACUGACUUGGGGGAACCAUUUAUGACACCAGGUAAAAGACCAUGGAAUCCAGGCUCUUCAGGGCCAUCGCUGUAGGGGCCUACUUCCUGUCUUAGUUCAGGUUCUAGAAGCAGAGCCUAAGACAGGGAUUCCGGGGCAUGUGAUUUCUCCAGGGAGCGCCCUUCAGGAAAAACCUCCACGAGCAUUAGGGAAGGACGGGCCAAGCAAGGAUGGAUCUUGGGUAAAGCCGAGCUGUGACCUGAGGCCCAAGGGCCGCUGGGGCAUUUCCACAGGGCAGUCACACCGUCCUUCAGAGAAGGGGGCUGGCCUUUGUGCCUCCUCAACAGUUAGCCUCUGGCUGCAGUAGCAGGGCUAACCUCCCAGGUCACAGCAGCUUGGGACAAAGUCCCUGCCUGGUAAAAGAUCUGGCUGGUUCUUUCAGGGGAACGUAACAUCUGCAUGACUCAUGCGUGCAAACCACCCACACGCUAGGAAUCUGAAGUGGUUGCUCCUAGAAACAGAAAUAAACGACCAUCCAGUGAUGAAGAGUUUUCCCCAGCAAAGAGACAACUCCAGGGAAGAGCUUUCCAGUGUGAGUACAGAGAUUGUGGUUUAAGGUAACUAAUGAUUUGCAUAAAGCCAACUUCCAUAUUACCUGACACAUGGUAAAAUAUGGACACAGUGCUUUUUGAGAGGUAGAGAAAAAUAACUCAGUACACAACUUUACUGCCUGUAAAACCCAACACCAGAAAAUUCCCUCCAAUAAGAAUCGGCACCAGACAGGCGUUGAAAUAUUUAGCAUCUUCUGAGAUGUAAUUACUACUCCGCUGUGUGCAUCUGUGUUUGCUGUCCCCUCCGAAUGGAACAGGAUGUGAUUUCACUGAAUUGGCAGAUUUAUCCACCUGGCUUUUGAGCAGUUGGUCAUUUUUCAGCCUGGUGGUGAAUGCCUUUCCCCAUACCCCCAGCACACAGGCAGGCACCCUCCGCCCCCAGCUCCCAAAUCCAAGAGAAAAACUCAAAGAGAACUCAACCGAGGGUGGAUGGUUUUUCUGUCAGUUACCUGCUUUCUGUUCCUUCCAGAACCUACAACGGCCGUGACACUGGGGGCAGAUCAGGAGUCUAUAAAUGACAUAUGACUAAGAAGCAGAGGGAUACCAGCUGCUUAUUGACAAAAUGGGUGGCUCCCAGUGAGGCGUGGAAGGACAGAACUGGCCCAGACCAGCUGGGAGGCCUUGGCACAUACAACAGAGCCUGCUGGGUCACAGCACAGCCAUUGUCAUCCUGUGAAACGUGAACCUGACCUUCUACCCAACAAGGAUCCUGAUGGACUGGCUAUCUACCUCCCCAGGAUAAAAGCAGUGAGG
RNAcentral lists this long non-coding RNA (2408 nucleotides) under Homo sapiens (human). RNAcentral's name for it is "HSALNT0168384". Lineage: Eukaryota; Metazoa; Chordata; Mammalia; Primates; Hominidae. The record is from RNAcentral.